AUGGCCAUCCUCAGACCCCUUGUGAAGCCCAAGAUCGUCAAAAAGAGCACCAAGAAGUUCACUGGGCACCAGUCAGACUGAUAUGUCAAAAUUAAGUGUAACUGGUGGAAACACAGAGGUAUUGGCAACAUGGUUCAUAGAAGGUUCGAGGGCCAGAUCUAUGCCCAACAUUGGUUAUGGGAGAAACAAAAAAAAAAAGACAAAGCACAUACUGACCAGUGGCUUCUGGAAGUUCCUGGUCCACAAUGUUAAGGAACUAGAAGUACUGCUGAUGUGUAACAAAUCUUACUGUGUUGAGAUCACUCAUGAUGUUUCCUCCAAGAACUACAAAGCCAUCUUAGAAAGAGCAGCUCAGGUGGUCAUCAGAGUCACCAAUGCCAGUGCCAGCCUACACAGUGCAGAAAGUGAAUAGACAGCGAAUGUGUUUGUUUUAUUGGGAUUUAAAUAAAACCAAUAAAACUGUAAAAACAAAAACAACAAAA
RNA transcript from Mandrillus leucophaeus (drill), 482 nucleotides. It is a transcript of the gene named 60S ribosomal protein L32 pseudogene, with no coding region annotated. The record is from RefSeq and is a predicted model, not a curated record. NCBI's taxonomy places the organism in Eukaryota, Metazoa, Chordata, Mammalia, Primates, Cercopithecidae. The transcript has a single exon.